GACGGCCUUCGGGUUGUAAACCUCUUUCAGUAGGGAAGAAGCGAAAGUGACGGUACCUGCAGAAGAAGCGCCGGCUAACUACGUGCCAGCAGCCGCGGUAAUACGUAGGGCGCAAGCGUUAUCCGGAAUUAUUGGGCGUAAAGAGCUCGUAGGCGGUUUGUCGCGUCUGCCGUGAAAGUCCGGGGCUCAACUCCGGAUCUGCGGUGGGUACGGGCAGGCUAGAGUGAUGUAGGGGAGACUGGAAUUCCUGGUGUAGCGGUGAAAUGCGCAGAUAUCAGGAGGAACACCGAUGGCGAAGGCAGGUCUCUGGGCAUUAACUGACGCUGAGGAGCGAAAGCAUGGGGAGCGAACAGGAUUAGAUACCCUGGUAGUCCAUGCCGUAAACGUUGGGCACUAGGUGUGGGGGACAUUCCACGUUUUCCGCGCCGUAGCUAACGCAUUAAGUGCCCCGCCUGGGGAGUACGGCCGCAAGGCUAAAACUCAAAGGAAUUGACGGGGGCCCGCACAAGCGGCGGAGCAUGCGGAUUAAUUCGAUGCAACGCGAAGAACCUUACCAAGGCUUGACAUGGACCGGACCGCCGCAGAGAUGUGGUUUCUCCUUUUGGGGCCGGUUCACAGGUGGUGCAUGGUUGUCGUCAGCUCGUGUCGUGAGAUGUUGGGUUAAGUCCCGCAACGAGCGCAACCCUCGUUCCAUGUUGCCAGCGCGUAAUGGCGGGGACUCAUGGGAGACUGCCGGGGUCAACUCGGAGGAAGGUGGGGACGACGUCAAAUCAUCAUGCCCCUUAUGUCUUGGGCUUCACGCAUGCUACAAUGGCCGGUACAAAGGGUUGCGAUACUGUGAGGUGGAGCUAAUCCCAAAAAGCCGGUCUCAGUUCGGAUUGGGGUCUGCAACUCGACCCCAUGAAGUCGGAGUCGCUAGUAAUCGCAGAUCAGCAACGCUGCGGUGAAUACGUUCCCGGGCCUUGUACACACCGCCCGUCAAGUCACGAAAGUUGGUAACACCCGAAGC
RNAcentral lists this ribosomal RNA (1009 nucleotides) under Arthrobacter sp. Its description in RNAcentral is "bacterial SSU rRNA". It matches the Rfam family "Bacterial small subunit ribosomal RNA", at positions 410 to 1427 of the family's 1533-position model. Lineage: Bacteria; Bacillati; Actinomycetota; Actinomycetes; Micrococcales; Micrococcaceae. The record is from RNAcentral.